UGGGGAAUUUUGGACAAUGGGCGAAAGCCUGAUCCAGCAAUGCCGCGUGUGUGAAGAAGGCCUUCGGGUUGUAAAGCACUUUUGUCCGGAAAGAAAUCCUUGGCUCUAAUACAGUCGGGGGAUGACGGUACCGGAAGAAUAAGCACCGGCUAACUACGUGCCAGCAGCCGCGGUAAUACGUAGGGUGCAAGCGUUAAUCGGAAUUACUGGGCGUAAAGCGUGCGCAGGCGGUUUUGUAAGACGAUGUGAAAUCCCCGGGCUAACCUGGGAACUGCAUUGCGAACUGGCAAGGCUAGAGUAUGGCAGAGGGGGGUAGAAUUCCACGUGUAGCAGUGAAAUGCGUAGAGAUGUGGAGGAAUACCGAUGGCGAAGGCAGCCCCCUGGGCCAAUACUGACGCCUAGCAUGCAGCAGAAGCGUGGGGGAGCAAAACAGGAUUAGAUACCCUGGUAGUCCACGCCCUAAACGAUGUCAACUAGUUGUUGGGGAUUCAUUUCCUUAGUAACGUAGCUAACGCGUGAAGUUGACCGCCUGGGGAGUACGGUCGCAAGAUUAAAACUUCAAAGGAAUUGACGGGGUCAUAGCUGUUUCCU
This 591-nucleotide ribosomal RNA is filed under the name uncultured bacterium. Its description in RNAcentral is "partial 16S ribosomal RNA". It matches the Rfam family "Bacterial small subunit ribosomal RNA", at positions 355 to 1375 of the family's 1533-position model. The record is from RNAcentral.